Molecule: transfer RNA, 72 nt
Filed under: Tupanvirus deep ocean
Lineage: Varidnaviria; Bamfordvirae; Nucleocytoviricota; Megaviricetes; Imitervirales; Mimiviridae
Also listed under: 1 other name
Description: tRNA-Asp
Rfam family: tRNA
About the family: Transfer RNA (tRNA) molecules are approximately 80 nucleotides in length. Their secondary structure includes four short double-helical elements and three loops (D, anti-codon, and T loops).
Source: RNAcentral
GUUCUUUUGGUGUAGUGGUAGCACACGGCUCUGUCCAAGCCGUAGUGAGGGUUCGAUUCCCUCAGGGAACGC